This 368-nucleotide transfer-messenger RNA is filed under the name Nocardioidaceae. Its description in RNAcentral is "SSC3 sp013693815 Standard tmRNA". It matches the Rfam family "transfer-messenger RNA". From Rfam's summary of the family: Bacterial tmRNA, also known as 10Sa RNA or SsrA, is named for its dual tRNA and mRNA-like properties. Its role is to liberate the mRNA from a stalled ribosome. Lineage: Bacteria; Bacillati; Actinomycetota; Actinomycetes; Propionibacteriales. The record is from RNAcentral. RNAcentral also lists the same sequence under 1 other name.
GGGGCUGAUUGGUUUCGACUUGGGACGUUGGUUCCAGGAGAAGCGGGUCGAGGAUCCAGGGUCAUCUCGUAAACGAACUCUGGAAACCAAUAACUGCCAACGCUAAGCGCAGUUCGUUCGCUCUCGCCGCCUGAGGCGACUAGCGACGGGUCAGACUGAGGGCGCCUCCGCCUCAGACCCUGGCCUUAUCUAGGAGGCUUGCUGGUCAUCGCUCGCCGUAGGCGGUGAUCAGGACUUUUCUACGGCUGAGUCCGUCGGUGACGUGUCUGUACGAGCGCCGGGACUGAGAAAACGCUGCUACAGACUGCACCCGAGAAGACCUGUAACGGCGCUCGAGGACCCGGGUUCGAUUCCCGGCAGCUCCACAU